This 444-nucleotide ribosomal RNA is filed under the name uncultured bacterium. Its description in RNAcentral is "bacterial SSU rRNA". It matches the Rfam family "Bacterial small subunit ribosomal RNA", at positions 28 to 505 of the family's 1533-position model. The record is from RNAcentral.
GAUUAAUGCUGGCGAGAUGCAUAACACAUGCAAGUCGAGCGAUAAAUUAACUUCGGUUAAUGGACAGCGGCGGACGGCUGAGUAACACGUUGGAACGUGCCUUUCAUUCAGGGAUAGCCCAAAGAAAUUUGGAGUAAUACCGGAUACCCCAGCAAUGGGAAAGCGUUUAGCGAUGAAAGAGCGGCCUGCGGCCCAUUAGUUUGUUGGUGAGGUAAUGGCUUACCAAGACUACGAUGGGUACCUGGUGUGAGAGCAUGACCAGGCAGAGUGGGACUGAGACACGGCCCACACUCCUACGGGAGGCAGCAGUGAGGAAUUUUCCGCAAUGGGCGAAAGCCUGACGGAGCAAUCUCGCGUGGAGGAUGACACCUUUCGGGGCGUAAACUCCUUUUAUGAGGGAAGAAAAUCUGACGGUACCUCAUGAAUAAGGGACGGCUAACUACG